CUCAUGUUGUAGUUUGAACAAGAUGAGGAUUGACAUUAAUUUCUUGGAUUAAGAUCAUCAAGGUUGUUGAAUAGCGACAUGGUUCUUCAUCUCUUACAAGGACAGAUCUGUUAUCGAUGCUUUCAACUUGAAAUUAAUUUCCUCCUUAUAAAGUGUUUGUAUAUACUGUUUCAUUCCAGAAUACUUUCUUUGAUUCUUAUAUUAAACUUUACACAUAUAGACAGGGCAUUUGACACAUAUGCGAAAGUGAUAGUGAAUGCAGGUGGACCUUUUUGUGACUCUGUUGGAAACCUAGUUGAUAGAGAUGCAGAACCAAUGAUCUGUCCUAGCAGUGGGGUCCACAUAGUCCACCCCGACUACUAUUCUCCAGAAGGAAUGGGUUUGAUUGUCCCCAAAAAUAUUGAGAUUAUGUUUGAUUAUGGUCUAGAGGAUCACAUUUGAAUCUAAUAUGGCUUCAUGGUGUUAAAUGAAGUUGAUUUGAGGAAUGUAUUUUGAUUGGAGCAUUGUUGUUGAUGAAAAAAUGAUGAUAUUGAUUUGUGCUAUUAAAGCUCCAAGAUUUGGUGAGAACAGAAUGGUUGGUGGUAUUGUAUGUAAUUAACCAAGUCUAGUCUUUGGUUAUCUUAAUCUGUUCUCUAAUGGUGUUGUAUGUUAUUCUUACUUCUUGAUCUUCUUUCUUAAC
Long non-coding RNA from Lactuca sativa (garden lettuce), 679 nucleotides. RefSeq lists it as uncharacterized. Lineage: Eukaryota; Viridiplantae; Streptophyta; Magnoliopsida; Asterales; Asteraceae. The record is from RefSeq and is a predicted model, not a curated record.